This 79-nucleotide transfer RNA is filed under the name Thermoprotei archaeon. RNAcentral's name for it is "tRNA-OTHER". Lineage: Archaea; Thermoproteati; Thermoproteota; Thermoprotei. The record is from RNAcentral.
GCGCCCGGCUGAUAAGCCGGGCAUAGUGCCCGGCGCAGUGACCGGGAGGACCCGGGUUCGAAGCCCGGCGGGCCCACCA